Molecule: ribosomal RNA, 497 nt
Filed under: uncultured bacterium
Lineage: Bacteria
Description: partial 16S ribosomal RNA
Rfam family: Bacterial small subunit ribosomal RNA
Source: RNAcentral
GAUGAACGCUGGCGGCGUGCCUAAUACAUGCAAGUCGAGCGAACGGACGAGAAGCUUGCUUCUCUGAUGUUAGCGGCGGACGGGUGUGUAACACGUGUAUAACCUACCUAUAAGACUGGGAUAACUUCGGGAAACCGUAGCUAAUACCGGAUAAUAUUUUGCACCGCAUGGUUCAAAAGUGAAAGACGGUCUUGCUGUCACUUAUAGAUGGUUCUGCGCUGCAUUAGCUAGUUGGUAAGGUAACGGCUUACCAAGGCAACGAUGCAUAGCCGACCUGAGAGGGUGAUCGGCGGCACUGGAACUGAGACACGGUCCAGACUCCUACGGGAGGCAGCAGUAGGGAAUCUUCCGCAAUGGGUGGAAGCCUGACGGAGCAACGCCGCGUGAGUGAUGAAGGUCUUCGGAUCGUAAAACUCUGUUAUGAGGGAAAAACAUAUGUGUAAGUAACUGUGCACAUCUUGACGGUACCUAAUCAGAAAGCCACGGCUAACUACGUG